Long non-coding RNA from Monodelphis domestica (gray short-tailed opossum), 453 nucleotides. RefSeq lists it as uncharacterized. The record is from RefSeq and is a predicted model, not a curated record. NCBI's taxonomy places the organism in Eukaryota, Metazoa, Chordata, Mammalia, Didelphimorphia, Didelphidae.
AACUGUCUCUCUCAAAUUGGAAUUUAGACAGAGAGGCUGCGUGAUUCUCCAUGAAGAAAUCAUCUUUGAAGCUGCUUGACUUGGAUUAUCCUCAAGAAAAGGUUGAGUAUUUAAGAUGGACAGAGAGAAGCACCUCCAGGCCAUACCUCCAUCCUAUCAGACAUUUGUUUGUUCCCUAAAACUAAGGAAUCUUUAUGUCCCCAGGAAGAUGAUCACCCCACCUCGCCAAAUGCCUGGGUGACUAACACUCUGUUGUAAAAAGUAUAAAAUCUCUAGAACUGAUGGCGUCUGGGGGACAGCUUUUCCAUCCAUGCUGUCCUCAUGGGGAACAGCCUUUCCAUCCAUGCUGUCUUCCCAAGGAACUGCUCCCCAUCUUGCUGUUCCAACUUGCUAUCCUCCUGGCCACUCUCAACAUUACUUUCUAAAUUAAUAAAUUUCUCUUUUUGUUAUUAA